UGAGACCUGAUGCCGAGCCGAUUGUGGCGAAGUGGAUGAUCCUAUGCUGUCGAGAAAAGCCUCUAGCGAGUUUCAUGGCGGCCCGUACCCCAAACCGACUCAGGUGGUCAGGUAGAGAAUACCGAGGCGUUCGGGUGAACUAUGGUUAAGGAACUCGGCAAAAUGCCCCCGUAACUUCGGGAGAAGGGGGGCCAUUCCUGGUGACGGCACUUGCUGCCAGAGCUGGGGGUGGCCGCAGAGACCAGCGAGAAGCGACUGUUUACUAAAAACACAGGUCCGUGCGAAGCCGUAAGGCGAUGUAUACGGACUGACGCCUGCCCGGUGCUGGAACGUUAAGGGGACCGGUUAGCUCCACUUCGGUGGGGCGAAGCUGAGAACUUAAGCGCCAGUAAACGGCGGUGGUAACUAUAACCAUCCUAAGGUAGCGAAAUUCCUUGUCGGGUAAGUUCCGACCUGCACGAAUGGCGUAACGACUUCUCGACUGUCUCAACCAUAGGCCCGGUGAAAUUGCAUUACGAGUAAAGAUGCUCGUUUCGCGCAGCAGGACGGAAAGACCCCGGGACCUUUACUAUAGCUUGAUAUUGGUGUUCGGUUCGGCUUGUGUAGGAUAGGUGGGAGACUUUGAAGCCGUGACGCCAGUCAUGGUGGAGUCGUCGUUGAAAUACCACUCUGGUCGUGCUGGAUGUCUAACCUGGGUCCGUGAUCCGGAUCAGGGACAGUGUCUGGUGGGUAGUUUAACUGGGGCGGUUGCCUCCUAAAGAGUAACGGAGGCGCCCAAAGGUUCCCUCAGCCUGGUUGGCAAUCAGGUGUUGAGUGUAAGUGCACAAGGGAGCUUGACUGUGAGACUGACGGGUCGAGCAGGGACGAAAGUCGGGACUAGUGAUCCGGCGGUGGCUUGUGGAAGCGCCGUCGCUCAACGGAUAAAAGGUACCCCGGGGAUAACAGGCUGAUCUUCCCCAAGAGUCCAUAUCGACGGGAUGGUUUGGCACCUCGAUGUCGGCUCGUCGCAUCCUGGGGCUGGAGUAGGUCCCAAGGGUUGGGCUGUUCGCCCAUUAAAGCGGUACGCGAGCUGGGUUUAGAACGUCGUGAGACAGUUCGGUCCCUAUCCGCUGUGCGCGUAGGAGUGUUGAGAAGGGCUGUCCCUAGUACGAGAGGACCGGGACGGACGAACCUCUGGUGUGCCAGUUGUCCUGCCAAGGGCAUGGCUGGUUGGCUACGUUCGGGAGGGAUAACCGCUGAAAGCAUCUAAGCGGGAAGCCUGCUUCGAGAUGAGCACUCCCACCUCCUUGAGAGGGUAAGGCUCCCAGUAGACGACUGGGUUGAUAGGCCGGAUAUGGAAGCCCUGUGAGGGGUGGAGUUGACCGGUACUAAUAGGCCGAGGGCUUGUCCU
Molecule: ribosomal RNA, 1390 nt
Filed under: Streptomyces sp. NRRL S-984
Lineage: Bacteria; Bacillati; Actinomycetota; Actinomycetes; Kitasatosporales; Streptomycetaceae
Description: bacterial LSU rRNA
Rfam family: Bacterial large subunit ribosomal RNA
Source: RNAcentral